GCGACCCCAGGAUGGGCGAGGCCACCCGCCGAAUUUAAG
This 39-nucleotide ribosomal RNA is filed under the name Leochilus carinatus. Its description in RNAcentral is "partial 26S ribosomal RNA". Lineage: Eukaryota; Viridiplantae; Streptophyta; Magnoliopsida; Asparagales; Orchidaceae. The record is from RNAcentral.